This 253-nucleotide ribosomal RNA is filed under the name uncultured bacterium. RNAcentral's name for it is "partial 16S ribosomal RNA". It matches the Rfam family "Bacterial small subunit ribosomal RNA", at positions 524 to 776 of the family's 1533-position model. The record is from RNAcentral.
UACGUAGGGGGCUAGCGUUGUCCGGAUUUAUUGGGCGUAAAGAGCGUGUAGGCGGCCAGGUAGGUCUGCUGUGAAAACUCGAGGCUCAACCUCGAGACGUCGGCGGAAACCAUCUGGCUAGAGUCCGGAAGAGGAGAGUGGAAUUCCUGGUGUAGCGGUGAAAUGCGCAGAUAUCAGGAAGAACACCGAUGGCGAAGGCAGCUCUCUGGGACGGUACUGACGCUGAGACGCGAAAGCGUGGGGAGCGAACAGG